Non-coding RNA from Camelina sativa (false flax), 365 nucleotides. The record is from RefSeq and is a predicted model, not a curated record. Lineage: Eukaryota; Viridiplantae; Streptophyta; Magnoliopsida; Brassicales; Brassicaceae.
GAUUCAUUUAUAGUUGAUGGUGACAAUCGAUAUGGAGGAGAGCCGUUUCUCGAUGGAGAGAUUGUUCCAUACGAUGAGAAGUAUCAUGCGGACUGGUUACGAGAUCAAACUGAUGAGGAUGCUAAGAACCGAGUAGUCAAAAAGAAGCCUAGGAGGAAAAGAAAGAAAAAGUUGAUCUAGUUGGAGAUAUUUGGUAUUUGGAAGUCUUUUUGCUUCAGUGUGGCACUCAAGCUUGAAGAUUUUCUGGAAUGCCUUCUAGUGUUACUAAUUUGAGCUCGUUGUAAAGAAUCCUAGGUGUAAUGUUAGAGAAAAAUUACAUUCAAUAUAUCAGUAUUCAAUAAAUUUGAGGUAUUGAGUAGAUUCCA